RNAcentral lists this long non-coding RNA (555 nucleotides) under Gossypium barbadense (sea-island cotton). RNAcentral describes it as "long non-coding RNA (GBAR_LNC004074)". Lineage: Eukaryota; Viridiplantae; Streptophyta; Magnoliopsida; Malvales; Malvaceae. The record is from RNAcentral.
CUGAAAUUGCAGCAGCAGGUGUCUCUUCCUCUUUUUCUUCUUUUUUCUCUUCCUUGUUUUCUUCUUCUUCUUUCUUUGGCUCAGGCUCAGGCUCAGCUACAGGUUUUUCUUCUGCUUUGGGUUUGGCAGUGAACUCGUGGUUGUUAAGGGCUUCUUGAAUAAGCUGCUUAAGCUCAUCAAGGGCCUUCUUUUGAGGCUCAGGAAGUUCACCAGCGAUAUUAGUUUCCUCUUUGAAAGAAACAGACUGGGUUAUCUUAGUUUCUUCCUUUUCUUCAACCUUGGGCUUCUCAACUUCAACAGCUUCUUCUUCAACAGCAACAACAGCCGGCUUCUCGGGCACCUCAGGUUCCGGCAGGGGAGCAGGUGCGGAGGGUUGUGGCUCUUUCUCAGUAACUUGAGGCUUCUCGACAACCACAGACACCUCCUGGGCGGGGGCAGCAGGUGCAGAUUCAGAGUCAAGAGUCUCCUGGGCCAUGGGUAAGUAAGAGAGGAAGAAUGAAAGUUGUAAGAAAGGGAGAAGAAUGAAGAGGGGGCUUAAAAAUGGAAGAAACAAGA